Molecule: ribosomal RNA, 338 nt
Filed under: unidentified
Description: Micrapemon sp. NB-2020 partial 16S ribosomal RNA
Source: RNAcentral
UUUUUUAAUUGAAAGCUUGUAUGAAUGGUUGAAUAAAAUAUAUUCUGUUUCAAAUGAAAAUUUAGAAUUUUAUUUUUUAAUUAAAAAGUUAAAAUGUAAUUAAAGGACGAGAAGACCCUAUAAAGUUUUAUAAUUUUUUAAUAAUAAUUUAUUUAAGAUAUUUAAAAUUUUUUUUAGAAAAUUAUUUUAUUGGGGAGAUAAUAAAAUUUAAAAAACUUUUAUUUUUUAAAACAUAAAUUAAUGAUUUUAUGAUCCUUUAUUAUUGAUUAAAAAUUUAAAUUACUUUAGGGAUAACAGCGUUAUUUUUUUUUUAAGUUCAUAUUUAUAAAAAAGAUUGC